GAUGAACGCUGGCGGCGUGCUUAACACAUGCCAGUCGAACGAGAAGUGAAGACGGAACCCUUCGGGCGGAAGGCUUUAUUUCGAGUGGCGGACGGGUGAGUAACGCGUGGGUAACCUGCCUCAUACAGGGGGAUAACAGUUGGAAACGACUGUUAAUACCGCAUAAGACCACAGCACCGCAUGGUGCGGGGGUAAAAACUCCGGUGGUAUGAGAUGGACCCGCGUUCGAUUAGCCAGUUGGCGGGGUAACGGCCCACCAAAGCGACGAUCGAUAGCCGAUCUGAGAGGAUGACCGGCCACAUUGGGACUGAGACACGGCCCAAACUCCUACGGGAGGCAGCAGUGGGGAAUAUUGCACAAUGGGGGAAACCCUGAUGCAGCGACGCCGCGUGAGUGAAGAAGUAUUUCGGUAUGUAAAGCUCUAUCAGCAGGGAAGAAAAUGACGGUACCUGAGGAAGAAGCCCCGGCUAACUACGUG
This 478-nucleotide ribosomal RNA is filed under the name uncultured bacterium. RNAcentral describes it as "partial 16S ribosomal RNA". It matches the Rfam family "Bacterial small subunit ribosomal RNA", at positions 28 to 507 of the family's 1533-position model. The record is from RNAcentral.